This 236-nucleotide ribosomal RNA is filed under the name uncultured Comamonas sp. RNAcentral describes it as "partial 16S ribosomal RNA". It matches the Rfam family "Bacterial small subunit ribosomal RNA", at positions 1148 to 1382 of the family's 1533-position model. Lineage: Bacteria; Pseudomonadati; Pseudomonadota; Betaproteobacteria; Burkholderiales; Comamonadaceae. The record is from RNAcentral.
ACUGCCGGUGACAAACCGGAGGAAGGUGGGGAUGACGUCAAGUCCUCACUGGCCCUUAUAGGUGGGGCUACACACGUCAUACAAUGGCUGGUACAAAGGGUUGCCAACCCGCGAGGGGGAGCCAAUCCCAUAAAGCCAGUCGUAGUCCGGAUCGCAGUCUGCAACUCGACUGCGUGAAGUCGGAAUCGCUAGUAAUCGUGGAUCAGCAUGUCACGGUGAAUACGUUCCCGGGUCUU